Molecule: ribosomal RNA, 247 nt
Filed under: Pseudosperma squamatum
Lineage: Eukaryota; Fungi; Basidiomycota; Agaricomycetes; Agaricales; Inocybaceae
Description: partial 28S ribosomal RNA
Rfam family: Eukaryotic large subunit ribosomal RNA
Source: RNAcentral
AAAGCUCAAAUUUAAAAUCUGUUGGCAUUGGCCAACUGAGUUGUAAUCUAGAGAAGUGUUACCCGUGCUGGACCGUGUACAAGUCUCCUGGAAUGGGGCAUCACAGAGGGUGAGAAUCCCGUCUUUGACAUGGACUACCAGUGCUUUUGUGGUAUGCUCUCAAAGAGUCGAGUUGUUUGGGAAUGCAGCUCAAAAUGGGUGGUAAAUGCCAUCUAAAGCUAAAUAUUGGCGAGAGACCGAUAGCGAA